Non-coding RNA from Malus domestica (apple), 1225 nucleotides. The record is from RefSeq and is a predicted model, not a curated record. Lineage: Eukaryota; Viridiplantae; Streptophyta; Magnoliopsida; Rosales; Rosaceae.
UUGGUGCACGUCACAGACAGUGGGCGACCCCCAAAUCCCUUUUAGUAUUGGCUUUCAUCCUGUUGUAGGUAAGGGAUGGUCUUUUGGCAUCGUAGAGAUGUGCUAUCUGCAUGAAAAUACACAAAUCAACUCAAAGCAAAAGAGGAGUGUCGUAUCCAAACCUUCUCAGUAUAAAGUAAAGUUGUUCUCUCUCUCUCUCUCUCUCUCUCUCUCACGUUCCAAACCAGCUAAGCUAUAACCCUUUCUUUGUUCCCUUCUUUCUCUCUCUCAAGGUCCCUGAGAAAGUGCAUCAUAAACCCUCAAAAUCCUAUAAAGAAAACUGCCUCCCCCAACCCCAAUGAAAUAAAAAACUGCCUCUCUAGCUAGCUAAUUAAGAAACUUCUUAACCCUCCUCCCUCCCCUCUCCUAUAUAUCUUCUUUCUUUCUAGCUAGGUGCAACGAUCUUUCUUAUAUAGCUACUAUAUAUUGGGAAACAAAAAUAUAUAUAUAUGGGCAGUGGUGGUGUUUCUUGUUUUUUAGAGUGUUUCUUGCGAACGCUUGCGGUGGUAGGGUUUAUCUGUCUUUUGCUGGUCGGAACCCUAGAGACUCAAGGAGGUACGAGUACAGCAGCCUCAAAGCAUACCGAUGCGGUUGGAAGAGGGAAGCUUGUUCAUCCAGAUUUGAAUUUUAACUAUAUGAGCAAAAGAAGAGUUCCCAACGGACCAGAUCCAAUUCACAACAGGAGAGCUGGGAACUCGGGACGGCCCCCGGGUCAAGCUUAGCCACUAAUUAAAGUACUUCAGAAGCUAAUUCAGCAGGAGUAUUGCAGGUGAAGAUGAUGCACGCGAUGGAUCGAGAUGCAUACGAAUCGAUGAAGAUGCAUAUGCCCUUUAGGAUUAUGUAUGUAUGUGUUUAAAUAUUCUUGAAAAAAUAUUAUGAAUAAUCCCAGCUGUGUGUGCAUAUGCAAAUCUUUUUCAUGACAGAAAUGGCUUUGGGAGGUGUUCGGGGAGAGUGUACGAAAGGAAAUGAAGAUUGCCACUCGCACAAAAAAUAAGUUCUUCGAUCAAAGAUUAAUUACUGUUUUCUCCACAAUUUUUUUAUUGUGACUGAGUGAUAGAUAUAGCAAAUUUUUAAUCGAUUGAGAAAAUGUGUCUUUGCAUGUAAAAAAGACGAUGAGAAUAUAUUUAUUUGUGGAACAUAACUUAAAGCAGUCGCCGUGCAUGCAUACGGGAUAGUUUGGCCUGUA